RNAcentral lists this unclassified non-coding RNA (528 nucleotides) under Hevea brasiliensis (rubber tree). Lineage: Eukaryota; Viridiplantae; Streptophyta; Magnoliopsida; Malpighiales; Euphorbiaceae. The record is from RNAcentral.
GUUUGUUUGUGUGAAAUUAAUGGCGGUCGUCGCCUAUACGUUUGUCCAUACAAAAAGGGCGUUGAGUUCCUGAAUUCAUCAGCAACAUCAAAUCCCUUAAAACCCUAAUUCGGAAAUUUUUGAUACAGAGAAAAGCUAUGGGGAAUGUUAACUGUGUAUUCUGCGGCUGCAUAGAACAGGCGAGCGUUGGUGUGGUGGAAAAAUGGGGACGUUUUGACAGAUUAGCAGAACCAGGGCUCAAUUUCUGGAAUCCCUUGGCCGGAGAAUGCCUCACUGGAACUCUCUCCACCAGGAUCAAUUCUCUUGAUGUCAAAAUUGAGACCAAAACCAAGGAUAAUGUCUUUGUUCAAUUGCUGUGCUCAAUCCAAUAUAGAGUGAUCAGGCAAAAUGCUGAUGAUGCUUUCUAUGAGUUGCAAAAUCCUACAGAGCAGAUUCAGGCUUAUGUAUUUGAUGUUGUUCGAGCCCAUGUCCCCAAAAUGAAUUUGGAUGAGCUUUUUGAGCAAAAGGAUGAAGUUGCUAAGGCUGUUU